RNAcentral lists this ribosomal RNA (460 nucleotides) under uncultured bacterium. Its description in RNAcentral is "partial 16S ribosomal RNA". It matches the Rfam family "Bacterial small subunit ribosomal RNA", at positions 338 to 795 of the family's 1533-position model. The record is from RNAcentral.
CCUACGGGCGGCAGCAGUGAGGAAUAUUGGUCAAUGGACGAGAGUCUGAACCAGCCAAGUAGCGUGAAGGAUGACUGCCCUAUGGGUUGUAAACUUCUUUUAUAUGGGAAUAAAAUGUUCCACGUGUGGGAUUUUGUAUGUACCAUAUGAAUAAGGAUCGGCUAACUCCGUGCCAGCAGCCGCGGUAAUACGGAGGAUCCGAGCGUUAUCCGGAUUUAUUGGGGUUAAAGGGAGCGUAGGGGGAUUGUUAAGUCAGUUGUGAAAGUUUGCGGCUAAACCGUAAAAUUGCAGUUGAAACUGGCAGUCUUGAGUACAGUAGAGGUGGGCGGAAUUCGUGGUGUAGCGGUGAAAUGCUUAGAUAUUACGAAGAAAUCCGAUUGCGAAGGCAGUUCACUGGACUGCAACUGACACUGAGGCUCGAAAGUGUGGGUAUCAAACAGGAUUAGAUACCCCAGUAGUC